This is a non-coding RNA of Podarcis lilfordi (Lilford's wall lizard), 191 nucleotides long. The record is from the annotation of a GenBank genome assembly. NCBI's taxonomy places the organism in Eukaryota, Metazoa, Chordata, Lepidosauria, Squamata, Lacertidae.
AUUCCUGAUGUUUAGUCGGAGUCUCCUUUCUUGGAACUUGAAUUCAUUGGGUCAAGUCCUACAUUCCAGAGAAGGAGAAAACAAACUUGCUCCAUUCUCCAUGUUCCGGCCUUUUAGAUAUUUGAAGAUGGCUAUCAUAUUUCCUCUCAGCCUCCUCUUUGCCAAGCUAAAUAUACCCAGUUCUCUCAACC